GAUGAACGCUGGCGGCGUGCUUAACACAUGCAAGUCGAACGGAAAGGCCAGUGCUUGCACUGGUACUCGAGUGGCGAACGGGUGAGUAACACGUGGGUGAUCUGCCCUGCACUUCGGGAUAAGCCUGGGAAACUGGGUCUAAUACCGGAUAGGACAAUGGUUUGGAUGCCGUUGUGGAAAGGUUUUUCGGUGUGGGAUGAGCUCGCGGCCUAUCAGCUUGUUGGUGGGGUAAUGGCCUACCAAGGCGUCGACGGGUAGCCGGCCUGAGAGGGUGUACGGCCACAUUGGGACUGAGAUACGGCCCAGACUCCUACGGGAGGCAGCAGUGGGGAAUAUUGCACAAUGGGCGCAAGCCUGAUGCAGCGACGCCGCGUGGGGGAUGACGGCCUUCGGGUUGUAAACUCCUUUCGCUAGGGACGAAGCGUAUUUGUGACGGUACCUGGAGAAGAAGCACCGGCUAACUACGUG
RNAcentral lists this ribosomal RNA (468 nucleotides) under uncultured bacterium. Its description in RNAcentral is "partial 16S ribosomal RNA". It matches the Rfam family "Bacterial small subunit ribosomal RNA", at positions 28 to 507 of the family's 1533-position model. The record is from RNAcentral.